GAUGAAGAACGCAGCGAAAUGCGAUAAGUAGUGUGAAUUGCAGAAUUCAGUGAAUCAUCGAAUCUUUGAACGCACAUUGCGCCCGCCAGUAUUCUGGCGGGCAUGCCUGUUCGAGCGUCAUUUCAACCCUCAAGCACAGCUUGGUGUUGGGACUCGCGUUAAUUCGCGUUCCUCAAAUUGAUUGGCGGUCACGUCGAGCUUCCAUAGCGUAGUAGUAAAACCCUCGUUACUGGUAAUCGUCGCGGCCACGCCGUUAAACCCCAACUUCUGAAUGUUGACCUCGGAUCAGGUAGGAAUACCCGCUGAACUUAAGCAUAUCAAUAAGCGGAGGA
RNAcentral lists this unclassified non-coding RNA (332 nucleotides) under soil metagenome. RNAcentral describes it as "partial contains 5.8S ribosomal RNA, internal transcribed spacer 2, and large subunit ribosomal RNA". The stretch from base 1 to 120 matches the Rfam family "5.8S ribosomal RNA", at positions 35 to 154 of the family's 154-position model. The record is from RNAcentral.